GAAAUGCGAUAACUAGUGUGAAUUGCAGAAUUCCGUGAAUCAUCGAGUCUUUGAACGCACAUUGCGCCCCCUGGUAUUCCGGGGGGCAUGCCUGUCCGAGCGUCAUUGCUGCCCAUCAAGCACGGCUUGUGUGUUGGGUCGUCGUCCCCUCUUCGGGGGGGACGGGCCCCAAAGGCAGCGGCGGCACCGCGUCCGAUCCUCGAGCGUAUGGGGCUUUGUCACCCGCUCUGUAGGCCCGGCCAGCGCUUGCCGAACGCAAAUCAAUCUUUUCCAGGUUGACCUCGGAUCAGGUAGGGAUACCCGCUGAACUUAAGC
This 315-nucleotide unclassified non-coding RNA is filed under the name plant metagenome. Its description in RNAcentral is "partial contains 5.8S ribosomal RNA, internal transcribed spacer 2, and large subunit ribosomal RNA". The stretch from base 1 to 105 matches the Rfam family "5.8S ribosomal RNA", at positions 50 to 154 of the family's 154-position model. The record is from RNAcentral.